This 539-nucleotide unclassified non-coding RNA is filed under the name Hevea brasiliensis (rubber tree). The record is from RNAcentral. Lineage: Eukaryota; Viridiplantae; Streptophyta; Magnoliopsida; Malpighiales; Euphorbiaceae.
GAAAAUGGUUGAACUGAAAAAAAAAAAAAUCCUUUUGUUAGGGUUUCCGAGAAAAGGGUUUCAGUUGCAUAGAGCUAAUCUCAGCUAACAAUUGAAUAAAGCGCAAGAGAUGCAUGAUUGUGGGGAUCAGGAGUUGUGAUGAAAAACAGCAUAGAUGAUUAAGACUGAGCUUUGUGGUGAUGAGGAUUGACGAGAGCAUUCUCUAAGUGUAGGCAAGAAUGGGGUGGCUUAGUUGGGGUUUGAAGAGGCAUGGUCUAUCCCUAUCCUUUUGGGUUAGUGGUAGUCUCCCUACUCAAGCAUAUGCAAUGGUCCCCAAAAAAUCAAAAUGAGGACAAGAGAAAGAGAUGAUUGAUCUUUAGAUCAACUUGUUUCGUGCGACAUCUUUUGGUGUCUAACCCCGACACUACCGAUGGUCCCCAACAAGCUUUUGAUUUUCUCAUCACUUUGAAGCUUCUUUUAAUGACUUUUUAAACUUGUUAAUCAGACAUUUAUUUGGUCGCAAUUCUUGGUGGACUCCAACUUAUUUACUCUUCCUCCCU